GUAACGGUUAAAUCCAAAUAGCCUGACUAAGUAUGUAGAACUGCUUGUAGAGAGCUUACGGACGCGGGUUCGAUUCCCGCCGCCUCCACCA
RNAcentral lists this transfer-messenger RNA (91 nucleotides) under Betaproteobacteria bacterium. RNAcentral describes it as "partial transfer-messenger RNA". It matches the Rfam family "transfer-messenger RNA", at positions 283 to 374 of the family's 374-position model. From Rfam's summary of the family: Bacterial tmRNA, also known as 10Sa RNA or SsrA, is named for its dual tRNA and mRNA-like properties. Lineage: Bacteria; Pseudomonadati; Pseudomonadota; Betaproteobacteria. The record is from RNAcentral.